GCCAGCGUGGCGGAGUCCGGUCGAACGCGGCAGAUUCGAGAUCUGCUGGGACAUAUGCUCCCUCCCCGGUUCAAAUCCGGGCGCUGGCG
Molecule: transfer RNA, 89 nt
Filed under: Nanohaloarchaea archaeon SW_4_43_9
Lineage: Archaea; Methanobacteriati; Methanobacteriota; Candidatus Nanohaloarchaea
Description: tRNA-Ser
Rfam family: tRNA
About the family: Transfer RNA (tRNA) molecules are approximately 80 nucleotides in length.
Source: RNAcentral